UGGGGAAUUUUGGACAAUGGGCGAAAGCCUGAUCCAGCAAUGCCGCGUGUGUGAAGAAGGCCUUCGGGUUGUAAAGCACUUUUGUCCGGAAAGAAAUCCUUGGCUCUAAUACAGUCGGGGGAUGACGGUACCGGAAGAAUAAGCACCGGCUAACUACGUGCCAGCAGCCGCGGUAAUACGUAGGGUGCAAGCGUUAAUCGGAAUUACUGGGCGUAAAGCGUGCGCAGGCGGUUUGCUAAGACCGAUGUGAAAUCCCCGGGCUCAACCUGGGAACUGCAUUGGUGACUGGCAGGCUAGAGUAUGGCAGAGGGGGGUAGAAUUCCACGUGUAGCAGUGAAAUGCGUAGAGAUGUGGAGGAAUACCGAUGGCGAAGGCAGCCCCUGGGCCAAUACUGACGCUCAUGCACGAAAGCGUGGGGAGCAAACAGGAUUAGAUACCCUGGUAGUCCACGCCCUAAACGAUGUCAACUAGUUGUUGGGGAUUCAUUUCCUUAGUAACGUAGCUAACGCGUGAAGUUGACCGCCUGGGGAGUACGGUCGCAAGAUUAAAACUUAAAUGAAUUGACGGGGUCAUAGCUG
Molecule: ribosomal RNA, 578 nt
Filed under: uncultured bacterium
Lineage: Bacteria
Description: partial 16S ribosomal RNA
Rfam family: Bacterial small subunit ribosomal RNA
Source: RNAcentral